RNAcentral lists this ribosomal RNA (478 nucleotides) under Actinomyces sp. HA3. RNAcentral describes it as "bacterial SSU rRNA". It matches the Rfam family "Bacterial small subunit ribosomal RNA", at positions 45 to 514 of the family's 1533-position model. The record is from RNAcentral. Lineage: Bacteria; Bacillati; Actinomycetota; Actinomycetes; Actinomycetales; Actinomycetaceae.
UGCUUAACACAUGCAAGUCGAACGGGAUCCACGUUUUCCUUUUUGGUUUUUGUGGUGAGAGUGGCGAACGGGUGAGUAACACGUGAGUAACCUGCCCUCUUCUUUGGGAUAACGGUCGGAAACGGCUGCUAAUACCGGGUAUUCACUUUGCGGCGCAUGCUGUGGGGUGGAAAGCUUUUGUGGUGGGGGAUGGGCUCGCGGCCUAUCAGCUUGUUGGUGGGGUGAUGGCUUACCAAGGCUUUGACGGGUAGCCGGCCUGAGAGGGUGACCGGUCACAUUGGGACUGAGAUACGGCCCAGACUCCUACGGGAGGCAGCAGUGGGGAAUAUUGCACAAUGGGCGAAAGCCUGAUGCAGCGACGCCGCGUGAGGGAUGGAGGCCUUCGGGUUGUGAACCUCUUUCGCUCAUGGCCAAGCCGCGGUUUGGAUCGUGGUGAGGGUAGUGGGUAAAGAAGCGCCGGCUAACUACGUGCCAGCAG